GCACCGGAUGCCGAAGUGGCACGAGGCGGUGAGUUGCAAACUCUCUCUUAGUCGGUUCGAGUCCGACCCGGUGCUCCA
This 78-nucleotide transfer RNA is filed under the name Acidobacteriota bacterium. RNAcentral's name for it is "Acidobacteria bacterium tRNA-Cys". It matches the Rfam family "tRNA". From Rfam's summary of the family: Transfer RNA (tRNA) molecules are approximately 80 nucleotides in length. The record is from RNAcentral. Lineage: Bacteria; Pseudomonadati; Acidobacteriota. RNAcentral also lists the same sequence under 2 other names.